CUGAGACAACCCUAUUUCUGGGAGUCCUCCCAAACCCCUUGAAGUCACAGGCGUCUCUGAUGUCCCUGUCCUUCAUCCACAUCACUGAACAAUUAAGUGCACACAUCUCUGUACUUUUAUUUAAACCAUUCCAUAUGUGUUUACAAUUAACGACUUCAUGAAUGACUGCGGUAUGGAUGGAGCAGAAAAGAAUGCUGAGGGAGAACUCCGGUUAGAAGGAGCCGCUCUUCCAGGACUAGGAAUGAACUUUCCCCAGUACCAACCAGACAGCCUCCAGGGCAAGAAAAGGUGCCCACAGGAGAGCACCUGAGUUCUGAGACAGCUCUACGGCUCCCAGCCUUCAUCCCCGUGAGUAGUAACACAGGGACACGCAGAGGGGCAUGCUGACUGCCUAUAGGGCACCCAUGGAACAUGGAUGCACCCUGCGGAUCCUGAAACCGGUCAGGUAACGAGGAGCAGAGGUGUGGGGAAGACCUGGAGGGAGGCCUUACUGGGUGCCGACCAGCCUGACCAGCCGGGGCCACAGACCAGAAGUGCUUCUGACAUUAACCGGACACAGGGAAGGGUGCCUCUGACAUCUGCACAGCACACACAACCAAGUUUAGGAGCCCACUGUUAAGAUGCCCAAGUGACAUUGACAAGUUUCGCUGGGAACCAAUGAGGUCUGCUGACCACAAGAGCUUUGCGGUACUGCUGAAGGAUUCUGGAAAAUGUGG
Molecule: long non-coding RNA, 716 nt
Filed under: Rhinopithecus bieti (black snub-nosed monkey)
Lineage: Eukaryota; Metazoa; Chordata; Mammalia; Primates; Cercopithecidae
Description: lncRNA (ENSRBIG00000045824.1)
Source: RNAcentral